Molecule: long non-coding RNA, 297 nt
Filed under: Homo sapiens (human)
Lineage: Eukaryota; Metazoa; Chordata; Mammalia; Primates; Hominidae
Description: non-protein coding lnc-WDR70-7:15
Source: RNAcentral
GAGAAAAGGAGCUGCCGGCCGGAGUUCUAGCACCGAGAAGGAGAGUACUGGAAUACCUGAGUUUUGGCUGGGCACAGAACUGUCUGGAAUACAGACUGCAAUUCCCAGCCUUCUGUGCAGUUCUGUGUGGCCAUGUGACUAAGUUGUGGUCAAUAUGAGUCACGGAAGAAUAGAAGAACAACUCAGAGGAGGAAGAAGUCAGACAUAGCCAGACACGGCUGCUAGCAGUUCCACCAAUGAAAGAGGAGACCAGGAUGUUUAAAACAGGCAAACACAAGGUGCGAAAAACCAGAAGCG